CUACGUGCCAGCAGCCGCGGUAAUACGUAUGUCACAAGCGUUAUCCGGAUUUAUUGGGCGUAAAGCGCGUCUAGGUGGUUAUGUAAGUCUGAUGUGAAAAUGCAGGGCUCAACUCUGUAUUGCGUUGGAAACUGCAUGACUAGAGUACUGGAGAGGUAAGCGGAACUACAAGUGUAGAGGUGAAAUUCGUAGAUAUUUGUAGGAAUGCCGAUGGGGAAGCCAGCUUACUGGACAGAUACUGACGCUAAAGCGCGAAAGCGUGGGUAGCAAACAGGAUUAGAUACCCUGGUAGUCCACGCCGUAAACGAUGAUUACUAGGUGUUGGGGGUCGAACCUCAGCGCCCAAGCUAACGCGAUAAGUAAUCCGCCUGGGGAGUACGUACGCAAGUAUGAAACUCAAAGGAAUUGACGGGGGCCCGCACAAGCGGAGGAACAUGUGGUUUAAUUCGAUGAUACGCGAGGAACCUUACCCGGGCUUGAAC
Molecule: ribosomal RNA, 482 nt
Filed under: uncultured bacterium
Lineage: Bacteria
Description: bacterial SSU rRNA
Rfam family: Bacterial small subunit ribosomal RNA
Source: RNAcentral